AUACUUACCUGGCAGGGGAGAUACCAUGAUCAAGAAGGUGUAGUUCACCAAGGUGAGGCUUAACCUUGCGCAGGUUAUGCUGACCCGUCGCGAAUUCCCCAAAUAGUGAGGAAUCUCGACUGCAUAAUUUGUGGUAGUGGGGACUGCGUUAAGCGCUCUCUCCC
Perca fluviatilis (European perch) is the source of this 164-nucleotide small nuclear RNA. RefSeq annotates it as U1 spliceosomal RNA. The transcript has a single exon. The record is from RefSeq and is a predicted model, not a curated record. Lineage: Eukaryota; Metazoa; Chordata; Actinopteri; Perciformes; Percidae.